RNAcentral lists this ribosomal RNA (253 nucleotides) under uncultured bacterium. RNAcentral describes it as "partial 16S ribosomal RNA". It matches the Rfam family "Bacterial small subunit ribosomal RNA", at positions 524 to 776 of the family's 1533-position model. The record is from RNAcentral.
UACGUAGGGGGCAAGCGUUGUCCGGAUUUACUGGGCGUAAAGAGCGUGUAGGCGGCCGCACAGGUCCGUUGUGAAAACUGGAGGCUUAACCUCCAGACGUCGACAGAAACCGUCUGGCUAGAGUCCGGAAGAGGAGAGUGGAAUUCCUGGUGUAGCGGUGAAAUGCGCAGAUAUCAGGAAGAACACCCGUGGCUAAGGCGGCUCUCUAGUACGGUACUGACGCUGAGACGCGAAAGCGUGGGGAGCGAACAGG